Pelobates cultripes (western spadefoot toad) is the source of this 572-nucleotide non-coding RNA. NCBI's taxonomy places the organism in Eukaryota, Metazoa, Chordata, Amphibia, Anura, Pelobatidae. The record is from the annotation of a GenBank genome assembly.
CUGGAAGCAAUGCAGGUUUACUUUGUAUGCAUUCUGGAAACACUGUGCUUUAAGAUGCUGCACAUAAACUGACAUCAUCUUUUCUGUCUUGACUCACUAAAGGUUGGUUUUGGUGGUAAAAGUCUUGAAUCUGAGGGGCAGAGCUAAGCUGCUGAAGCGACUGGCCGCAUGUCUCUGAAGCUCCGAGCUUUAUGCCAAAAAAAGCCUAUUUUUUGCUACCAAUACCGCCACUAACUGGACCCGGAGGUCGGUACCAGACUGCCCAAACACUAUGGGAAUGAAUAUCGGGGAAAUGUGGAGGCAGGCGCAGAGCGCAUACGGGCCUAAAAUGGCUGCCUUCGCCGGCGGCUGCUCAGAUUUCUCUGACAAACUCUCCAUGGACAGUGAGGAUGAUAUCUUACCUGCACUCCCAAAGCCACAACCGGGCUCGACAACACUAGAUACAGCCCCGGUCACCACGGCUGUCCUAAAGGAACUCCUGGCCGAUCUGAAAACCACACUCCAGACAGACAUAGCCACGAUCCGCGGGGACCUGCAGGUCUAACAAGCCGCAUCGGAGUGCUAGAAGAAGC